This 244-nucleotide long non-coding RNA is filed under the name Felis catus (domestic cat). RNAcentral describes it as "lncRNA (ENSFCAG00000041707.2)". The record is from RNAcentral. Lineage: Eukaryota; Metazoa; Chordata; Mammalia; Carnivora; Felidae.
CGAAAAGUGUUUUGCAUGAAAUUUCUCUCCUCCUAGCUCCAAAUAGGAUAUUAUGAAUCAGGAAACCGAGGUUCAAGGCCACAUACCUAGGCCUACACUGGCUGCAUGGUCCACAAGUACGGUCUUAGGAGUUUGGCGCUUUGGAAUUUAGCCUGCAGCAGAGAUGAAGAGGAGCUUUCUGCAUGAAGAAUUGGACAAUACACAUUCCAGACCUCUCCAGUUCAUUGUGACGGUAAAUGUGAUA